AUGCCGUCUGCGGAGCAGCGAUUCUUCGACGUCACGCUGCACCUGGUUGUCCUCCAUGGGAGGCUGCACGUUGUCGGCAGGGGCUUACGUACGACCCGGUGGACGCACUUCACGAACGCAAUAGGGGUGUUCACGCUCGUCGGUGAGAUGGCGAAGUCGCCAGCAGUGGUCAAGGACUUUGACGGGCACGCGUUCUUUGUUAGCGACGCCUGCUGUGACGCUUUCGCUGUUGAGGCAGCCGCUUCAGGCCGCAGGAUAAGAGAGAACCAGAUUUACUUCGUUGAUGACGAGAAGAACGUGGCGUUGCUGACCGCCCGCGGCCGCCGGCCUUUCCAGAUGCUGCAAUCCUACGACGUGCGCAACAGCUGCCUCCGAGCAUACGUACCCAGCACCGCCGUGGUGGGGACUUGGCGCUGCGUCACAGCACAGCGCUUCCCGCACAGCAGCACCAUCGGACCACCGUUGCGGGAGCCUCUGUCGGAGGCGGAGCUGCUUCUGUGGGACGUGGCCAACUGCCUGGGAGCAUGGGGCCAGCCCUCAUAUACAACGCGCGAGCAGGAAGACGGCGCAAGGGUCGCCGUGACCGUGCAGAUAUGGGUGCCCAAGACAUCAAAAAUAUCUGUGGAGGAAGAGCACUACUGGAGGUUUACAAAGUACCGGAAGUCAGCCAAGAAAGCUAAGCAGGCGGCGGCGCACGAGGCCGUUACGUUCCUGCGGAGUCGGCUCCGCAGCAUCCUGGACGACAGUCCCUGGAGCUCCGUCCCUCACUACCAUAGCCAUGUCGAUGAGGAGGAGGAAGCACCGGAAGAAGACAGCGACGACCGCGACGGUUUGUUUGGGUAUAAAUAUUGGCGGAGAGACUUGUACUAA
Molecule: ribosomal RNA, 870 nt
Filed under: Triticum aestivum (bread wheat)
Lineage: Eukaryota; Viridiplantae; Streptophyta; Magnoliopsida; Poales; Poaceae
Description: partial small subunit ribosomal RNA
Source: RNAcentral